Molecule: non-coding RNA, 72 nt
Organism: Sphaerodactylus townsendi
Lineage: Eukaryota; Metazoa; Chordata; Lepidosauria; Squamata; Sphaerodactylidae
Source: the annotation of a RefSeq genome assembly
GGAGGUGUGGCUCAGUGGUACAGCAUCCGCUUAGCAUGCAGAAGGUCCCAGGUUUAAUCCCUGGCAUCUCCA